Molecule: long non-coding RNA, 1242 nt
Filed under: Salmo salar (Atlantic salmon)
Lineage: Eukaryota; Metazoa; Chordata; Actinopteri; Salmoniformes; Salmonidae
Description: lncRNA (ENSSSAG00000101293.1)
Source: RNAcentral
CGGCAAAAAGCUGAAUCGUGGCUUUGCAGGCUCGGGUUGAAAAAAAGUAGCGUGUUUGGGUAGUGGCUGGUUACAGUACUGUGAGACUCAGGCUCGUGCCCGCGUCGACAGAAUGCUUUGUUUUCUUUCGUCUGUUUACCUAAACGCAGAUUCCCGGUCUGAAUAUUAUCGCUUUUUUACGAGAAAAAUGGCAUAAAAAUUGAUUUUAAACAGCGGUUGACAUGCUUCGAAGUACGGUAAUGGAAUAUUUAGAAAUCUUUUGUCACGAAUUGCGCCAUGCUCGUGACCCUUAUUUACACUUCGGAUAGUGUCUUGAACCUACGAACAAAACGCCACUAUUUGGAUAUAACGAUGGAUUAUUUUGGACCAAACCAAUAUUUGUUAUUGAAGUAGCAGUCCUGGGAGUGCAUUCUGACGAAGACAACAAAGCUCUCCUGUGAAGUCGUGACUUCCGAUAUAUGCCUAGUUUCCUGAAUCAGGUCACAUAUUGACAUUGACUGACCACAGGAGCUUGGCCGGAUCUGUCAUUUAGGCUACUUCAUAACCAUAUCUGUGAUGAGAUGGGCCUGGAGCUGAUCUACUGGCACACACCUCAGAAAGGACAAAAGACAGAAGUGGUUCUCAGCGGAUGCCCAGCGGUGUGGAGUGUGUAGAGAUUGAUUGCUCAGCAGGACACUGACCCGAGCAUUUAGAGUCCCUGUGGCCUCUAGUGAUGGACUAGCCAGUCUCUCCCCCUAGUUAUCCUAGUGUGUGCGAUAAGCUGCAACGGGCCUCGUCAAGAGACUGGGAAAUAUCACUCCAAGUAGUGAUGAACUCCGUGGGCUGGAGAUGUUAACUAACAUUGUGGCCAAGAAGAGAGGAAGACAAGCAUUGUAAUUAUAAUAUACCAACAUGCAUUCUUCGAUCAAUAAUAUACUUUGAAAUAUAAAAAUGUGAUAUUAUCCUCUUGAACUUGAUAAAAGUUCAAAUUCAAAUGGACAAUACCUUAAUUUUAAUCUGAAUACAUGAGUUUGCUUAUGAUGCUGUUUUAUGUGAAUAUUGAAACCCUAGACAACACGUCUACUGUAUAAAAAAAGAGGGUACAACAAGUACAAAGUUGAAGUCAGAAGUUUACAUACACCUUAGCCAAAUACAUUUAAACUCAGUUUUUCACAAUUCCUGACAUUUAAUCCUAAUAAAAAUUCCCUGUUUUAAGUCAGUUCGGAUAACCACUUUAUUUUAAGAAUGUGAAAUAUCAGAAAA